ACUACGGGAGGCAGCAGUAGGGAAUCUUCCGCAAUGGACGCAAGUCUGACGGAGCAACGCCGCGUGAGUGAAGAAGGUUUUCGGAUCGUAAAACUCUGUUGUUAUAGAAGAACAAGUGCUAGAGUAACUGUUAGCGCCUUGACGGUAUCUAACCAGAAAGCCACGGCUAACUACGUGCCAGCAGCCGCGGUAAUACGUAGGUGGCAAGCGUUGUCCGGAUUUAUUGGGCGUAAGGCGAGCGCAGGCGGUUCCUUAAGUCUGAUGUGAAAGCCCCCGGCUCAACCGGGGAGGGUCAUUGGAAACUGGGGAACUUGAGUGCAGAAGAGGAGAGUGGAAUUCCAUGUGUAGCGGUGAAAUGCGUAGAUAUAUGGAGGAACACCAGUGGCGAAGGCGACUCUCUGGUCUGUAACUGACGCUGAGGCUCGAAAGCGUGGGUAGCAAACAGGAUUAGAUACCCUAGUAGUC
RNAcentral lists this ribosomal RNA (465 nucleotides) under uncultured bacterium. RNAcentral describes it as "partial 16S ribosomal RNA". It matches the Rfam family "Bacterial small subunit ribosomal RNA", at positions 338 to 795 of the family's 1533-position model. The record is from RNAcentral.